This 465-nucleotide ribosomal RNA is filed under the name uncultured bacterium. RNAcentral describes it as "bacterial SSU rRNA". It matches the Rfam family "Bacterial small subunit ribosomal RNA", at positions 338 to 795 of the family's 1533-position model. The record is from RNAcentral.
CCUACGGGAGGCACCAGUGGGGGAUUUUGGACAAUGGGCGAAAGCCUGAUCCAGCAAUGCCGCGUGCAGGAUGAAGGCCCUCGGGUUGUAAACUGCUUUUGUACGGAACGAAAAGCCUGGGGCUAAUAUCCUCGGGUCAUGACGGUACCGUAAGAAUAAGCACCGGCUAACUACGUGCCAGCAGCCGCGGUAAUACGUAGGGUGCAAGCGUUAAUCGGAAUUACUGGGCGUAAAGCGUGCGCAGGCGGUUUUGUAAGACAGUGGUGAAAUCCCCGGGCUCAACCUGGGAACUGCCAUUGUGACUGCAAGGCUAGAGUGCGGCAGAGGGGGAUGGAAUUCCGCGUGUAGCAGUGAAAUGCGUGGAUAUGCGGAGGAAUACCGAUGGCGAAGGCAAUCCCCUGGGCCUGCACUGACGCUCAUGCACGAAAGCGUGGGGAGCAAACAGGAUUAGAUACCCUCGUAGUC